This 253-nucleotide ribosomal RNA is filed under the name uncultured bacterium. RNAcentral describes it as "partial 16S ribosomal RNA". It matches the Rfam family "Bacterial small subunit ribosomal RNA", at positions 524 to 776 of the family's 1533-position model. The record is from RNAcentral.
UACAGAGGGGGCAAGCGUUGUUCGGAAUUACUGGGCGUAAAGGGCGCGUAGGCGGCCUUCUAAGUCGAAUGUGAAAUCCCCGGGCUCAACCCGGGAACUGCGUCCGAGACUGAAAGGCUUGAAUCCGGGAGAGGGAUGUGGAAUUCCAGGUGUAGCGGUGAAAUGCGUAGAUAUCUGGAGGAACAUCGGUGGCGAAGGCGGCAUCCUGGACCGGUAUUGACGCUGAGGCGCGAAAGCCAGGGGAGCAAACGGG